UGUGAGAGCUUGGGCACAGUCAUUGC
RNAcentral lists this non-coding RNA (26 nucleotides) under Mus musculus (house mouse). Lineage: Eukaryota; Metazoa; Chordata; Mammalia; Rodentia; Muridae. The record is from RNAcentral.